AAUUAGUUAUAUGACUGACGGAAGUGGAGUAAACCACAUGAAGUAUAACAAUAAUAAGCCGACCGUCUGGGCAAAAGUC
Molecule: non-coding RNA, 79 nt
Filed under: Clostridium sp.
Lineage: Bacteria; Bacillati; Bacillota; Clostridia; Eubacteriales; Clostridiaceae
Also listed under: 1 other name
Description: ZTP sequence
Rfam family: ZMP/ZTP riboswitch aptamer (pfl RNA motif)
About the family: Previously known as pfl RNA.
Source: RNAcentral